UAAAUUUAAUAUUUUGAAAUAUAAAGAAUUUGGCGGUAUAAUUAUUUUUUAGAGGGGUUUGUUUUUUAAUUCGAUAAUCCACGAUUAACCUUACUUUAAUUUUGUUUAUAUAUUUCCGUUUAGUGUAAUCUUUAAAUUGAAAAUUAACUUUAUUGGUAUUAUAAUCUUAAAAUCAGGUAAAUUAGUAGCAUUUUAAAGGAUAAUAGUGAAUCACAAUUUAUUAAUUUAAAAAAUUGAAUAAUAAUUUUGAAAUAAUUAUUUGAAAUUGAAUUUGAUAGUAAUAUAUUAAUAGAUUGAUUAUUUGAAUAAUAAUAAAUUAUAUGU
Molecule: ribosomal RNA, 324 nt
Filed under: Parapallene avida
Lineage: Eukaryota; Metazoa; Arthropoda; Pycnogonida; Pantopoda; Callipallenidae
Description: mitochondrial SSU rRNA
Source: RNAcentral